Small nuclear RNA from Antechinus flavipes (yellow-footed antechinus), 104 nucleotides. The record is from RefSeq and is a predicted model, not a curated record. NCBI's taxonomy places the organism in Eukaryota, Metazoa, Chordata, Mammalia, Dasyuromorphia, Dasyuridae.
UUGCUUUGGCAGCAUAUAUUCUAAAAUUGGAACAAUACAAAGAUUAAUUAGCAUGAACCCUACCCAAGGAUGACACAAAAAUUCGUGAAGCCCAGAAUUUUAGA